Molecule: ribosomal RNA, 460 nt
Filed under: Serratia marcescens
Lineage: Bacteria; Pseudomonadati; Pseudomonadota; Gammaproteobacteria; Enterobacterales; Yersiniaceae
Also listed under: 4 other names
Description: bacterial SSU rRNA
Rfam family: Bacterial small subunit ribosomal RNA
Source: RNAcentral
UAAUUGAAGAGUUUGAUCAUGGCUCAGAUUGAACGCUGGCGGCAGGCUUAACACAUGCAAGUCGAGCGGUAGCACAAGGGAGCUUGCUCCCUGGGUGACGAGCGGCGGACGGGUGAGUAAUGUCUGGGAAACUGCCUGAUGGAGGGGGAUAACUACUGGAAACGGUAGCUAAUACCGCAUAACGUCGCAAGACCAAAGAGGGGGACCUUCGGGCCUCUUGCCAUCAGAUGUGCCCAGAUGGGAUUAGCUAGUAGGUGGGGUAAUGGCUCACCUAGGCGACGAUCCCUAGCUGGUCUGAGAGGAUGACCAGCCACACUGGAACUGAGACACGGUCCAGACUCCUACGGGAGGCAGCAGUGGGGAAUAUUGCACAAUGGGCGCAAGCCUGAUGCAGCCAUGCCGCGUGUGUGAAGAAGGCCUUCGGGUUGUAAAGCACUUUCAGCGAGGAGGAAGGUGGUGA